CGCAAUGGGCGAAAGCCUGACGGAGCGACGCCGCGUGGUUGAUGAAGUCCUUCGGGACGUAAAAACCUUUUAUGAUUAGGAAAGUUUAUUGAUCCGAUCAUGAAUAAGGGGCUCCAAACUCUGUGCCAGCAGGAGCGGUAAUACAGAGGCCCCGAGCGUUGUCCGGAAUCACUGGGCGUAAAGGGUGUGUAGGUGGUUUUGUUAGUCUUCCGUUAAAUCUCCCGACUCAAUCGGGAAAGUGCGAAAGAUACGGCAAAACUACGAGGAUGUGAGAGGUAUAUGGAACUCAUGGAGUAGGGGUGAAAUCCGUUGAUAUCAUGGGGAACACCAAAAGCGAAGGCAGUAUACUGGCGCAUUCCUGACACUGAAACACGAAAGCGU
RNAcentral lists this ribosomal RNA (381 nucleotides) under uncultured organism. RNAcentral's name for it is "bacterial SSU rRNA". It matches the Rfam family "Bacterial small subunit ribosomal RNA", at positions 367 to 762 of the family's 1533-position model. The record is from RNAcentral.